CUAUUAGACUCGGUAGGGGUCGCUCCCUUUCAAGUGCCGCUCCGGACGCUGGCUAGUUAUAGCAGAGAUAUGUGCUCUUAGGAAGACGCUACAACAGAAUUAGGUUAUAGAGACACAUGUCUGGGACAUUUUUGUGUAAGUGUCCCAUUUAUGUCAAAACUUAAAAAAAAAUCUACUAAUGCCUAAAUAUAAAGCCCAAUCCAAUUAAAAAUAAAAGAUUACUCUACUCAACCCACCCCAUCCAGUCCAUUCGGUCCGAUUACAAAUAGAAAAGAAAAAAAAAUAGAAAAAUCGAUUACUAUCUUUCCUUCUCCACUUACUCAAUCUACCGAAAUCCUAGACGAAGAGCCCUUCCCUCUCAUCCUCCUCUGCCACCGCAGCCAACGAGGCAGAGUUCCGGCGAUUACUAAAUGCUUAAAUAAGUGUUGGUAAAUUAGCAGCACUCUUUUUAGGUUAUAACGACACUCUUUAACUAUUACUAUAUAACUAGCGACCCCACAUAUAGCAACACUUUUUAAAAGUGUCGGUAAUUUAGCUAGCAGCACUUUUUUUGACCUGUACAAUAUUUAAAAGUGUCGCUAUAGACCGUUUUUGUUGUAGUGAUGACCCAUCUACGGGAGUGAUAUUCGGGCUAGGAGUAGAGCCUAUUGUGUUGGUGGUGCACCUGCGGGAGUGCGAUCCGGGCACUACGCGGGCACAGGCUUGACCGAACGUGCGAGUCAGUCGUUGCGAUUGGGUACUAUUACAACAGUUGUUUCUUAGUAGUAGCAUUGAUGCAUGCACUGAUCAGCUUCCUUCCCUUCCUUUCAUUACAUCACCAGUGAUAUGA
RNAcentral lists this long non-coding RNA (829 nucleotides) under Ananas comosus (pineapple). RNAcentral describes it as "long non-coding RNA (ACOM_LNC016747)". Lineage: Eukaryota; Viridiplantae; Streptophyta; Magnoliopsida; Poales; Bromeliaceae. The record is from RNAcentral.